This is a non-coding RNA of Pelobates cultripes (western spadefoot toad), 309 nucleotides long. NCBI's taxonomy places the organism in Eukaryota, Metazoa, Chordata, Amphibia, Anura, Pelobatidae. The record is from the annotation of a GenBank genome assembly.
AUUUAAAUUAGCAUAUUUCUGCCAUUCCUUCUUAGGGUGCCAAUGGGUGAAGUAUGAUGGGUCAGUGGUAGGGCCUGGACAUAUUUUUUACUUCCAGAAAUCACAAUCUCAUACAAAGAUUCAGGAAUAAAGACUGCCCCUGGUAGACCAGCCUGAAUCAGAAUGGUUUAGUGUUGCCCCCCUCCAGUUUGGGUAUCAUUGGGUCUCAUUUAAGACUUUAGUAGUCUGGCACUUUGUGUGACUUUUCUCAUUUAUCCAGAUAGUCUUUUUGUGUCUGAAACAUUAAAUCAUAUAAUCUGCUGAUUUUGG